GGGCCGUUAGCUCAGUUGGUAGAGCAGCUGACUUUUAAUCAGCGGGUCGCAGGUUCGAAUCCUGCACGGCUCACCA
This 76-nucleotide transfer RNA is filed under the name Rhodobacter capsulatus. RNAcentral describes it as "tRNA-Lys". It matches the Rfam family "tRNA". From Rfam's summary of the family: Transfer RNA (tRNA) molecules are approximately 80 nucleotides in length. Their secondary structure includes four short double-helical elements and three loops (D, anti-codon, and T loops). RNAcentral also lists the same sequence under 26 other names. The record is from RNAcentral. Lineage: Bacteria; Pseudomonadati; Pseudomonadota; Alphaproteobacteria; Rhodobacterales.